RNAcentral lists this ribosomal RNA (462 nucleotides) under Triticum aestivum (bread wheat). Its description in RNAcentral is "partial small subunit ribosomal RNA". Lineage: Eukaryota; Viridiplantae; Streptophyta; Magnoliopsida; Poales; Poaceae. The record is from RNAcentral.
AUGGAGGUUGCUGUAAAGAAUACCAUGCCGGACACCGCGCAUCGAUGGUGCAAGUGGCAUGUUCUAAUGAAGGCUAAAGAGUUGCUCGGAGCGCUAUACACGAAAAAGAAUGCGUUCCGCUCAGAGUUCCACAAAGUGGUCAAUGACAUGAUAACAAUUGAAGAGUUUGAGGAGGCGUGGCACUUUCUCAUAGAGAAGUACAACCUUAGGACACAUCCAUACAUGACCCGGAUAUACGAGAUAAGGCACAAGUGGGCGAAGCCAUAUUUCAAAGGUGUUUUCUGUGCAAAGAUGACGAGCACGCAGAGGAGUGAGAGCGCUAACCACAUGCUGAAGAACUAUGUACCACCCGGGUGCCCAAUGCAUUUAUUCGUGAAGAAAUACAUGAGACUUCAGUUCGACCAUGAGUCAGAAGAGAAUUACGAGGAGAAGAGAACCAGAAUUGUAAGGUCCUUGACUUAA